UACAGAGGUGCCGAGCGUUAGGCGGAAUCACUGGGCUUAAAGCGUGUGUAGGCGGACUUCUAAGUACCUUGUGAAAUCCCAACGGCUUACCCGUGGAACUGCUGGGUAUACUGGUCGUCUUGAGCCACCUAGGGGCCAGCGGGAACAAAUGGUGGAGCGGUGAAAUGCGUAGAUAUCAUUUGGAACGCCAACGGUGAAAACAGCUGGCUGGGGGUGUGCUGACGCUGAGACACGAAAGCCAGGGAGCGAACGGG
RNAcentral lists this ribosomal RNA (254 nucleotides) under uncultured bacterium. Its description in RNAcentral is "partial 16S ribosomal RNA". It matches the Rfam family "Bacterial small subunit ribosomal RNA", at positions 524 to 776 of the family's 1533-position model. The record is from RNAcentral.